ACGGAGGAUGCGAGCGUUAUCCGGAUUCAUUGGGUUUAAAGGGUGCGCAGGCGGACUAAUAAGUCAGUGGUGAAAUCCCAUAGCUCAACUAUGGAACUGCCAUUGAUACUGUUAGACUAGAGUAUAUUUGACGUAGGCGGAAUGCGACAUGUAGCGGUGAAAUCCCUAGAUCCGUCGCGGACCACCGAUUGCGAAGGCAGCUCACGAAGCUAUAUCCGACACUCAUGAACGAAAGCGUGGGGAUCAAACAG
Molecule: ribosomal RNA, 251 nt
Filed under: uncultured prokaryote
Description: partial 16S rRNA
Rfam family: Bacterial small subunit ribosomal RNA
Source: RNAcentral